Long non-coding RNA from Astatotilapia calliptera (eastern happy), 2026 nucleotides. NCBI's taxonomy places the organism in Eukaryota, Metazoa, Chordata, Actinopteri, Cichliformes, Cichlidae. The record is from Ensembl.
AGGACAUCUGGAGUGUUACCUUACCCCAUCAGACGUUAGUAUAAUACACUAAACACGAUACUGUUUCUCAUUUUCUUUCAUCCUUAUAACAUGAUGUAAUCAGUUGUUUGGACUCUUGUUAUUAUUUACUAUGCAAUAAGAACACUUCCUAUCAGCCAAGACUAGCAGGAAAAUCUAAUGUUAAUCAGUAUAAUGUCAUUUUGAGUUGAAACUGUAUUUUCAGAAAUUACUCUUUUGCAAAAGAAAGUUACUACUUGCCUCGAGUGAUUCUUCUCUUUUCUUUUUAUUAAAAAAGGCAAAUUUGUGCUCGUUCAUCAUCAUAACUACCGGUAUUCCCACAUUCAGUGCCCGACACGCUUAUGGGUGUAUUUAACCACUAUUUUUGUUAUGCAUUAUAAAAGUCCGCUUUCAUUCACGGUGAAUGCGGGGGUGGCGCUGACAAUGUCAGUAUUUUUUGGGGAAGCCGCAGAAGAUAAGAAGUAUGCAGUAAAAAAGAUGAUCCACUGUUUCUUUUUUUUUUUUUUUUUUUUUUUUUUUUUUAUUAUAGAUGUUUUAAGGCUAUGAAACCCCUCACUACACACUAGAGAUGGACCGAUCCGAUAUUACGUAUCGGUAUCGGUCCGAUACUGACCUAAAUUACUGGAUCGGAUAUCGGAGAGAAAUAAAAAAUGUAAUCGAUCCAUUAAAUAUCAAAAAAGCACCUCACAAAACUUGCGACAUUGCAUAACUCGGCUUAUAACCGUAGCACGUUGGAUCAGUGUGGUCACGUGAUAGAGCGGCUGUGGUGUGCGAUACCUUUUUUUUUUUUUUUUUUUUUUUUUUUAUAUAUAUGUAUCAACACCUGUUGCAGACAAGCGCACACACAAGCAAAGAGAGUCACAAAUACAGGUUUAAUCACAACAACGGGGGAUAAUAAGGUCACAAGAUGACAUUUCAAACUGAUGCAUGACGCAAGUCAUCCUAACGACUGUAUAACGAGCUCGAUGUUGUUUAAAAGCCUGAUAAAUAAACGGUUUAUUUAUUUGUAUGUCGACUGUGGCAAAGAGGUUGCUCUCAUCUGAGGCAGAACUAAGCAGCCAGCCAACAGCUGUUUGUUAUAGGUCAGAUAUUCACGAAUAACUAGGCAUGCGUAUGGAAAAUCUGUGUGCAAGUGAACAACAUAGCAUUGAGGCAAACCAAUUACAGCACGUUUUCAGCUGAAGUUUGGAUGGAAAAAGUGAAGGUGAAAACUGCAUAUGUCUCUGUGUCAACUAAAGAGGCUAAUAAAUACAAGCAUGUAAAAAAAAAGAGAAGAAGCUUGGACUGAAAGUGUGAGAAUAUUUCCACUCCAUCAAAGUCUGUACUGCAGAUAGUUACCCCUUGAAAAUAGCUGUCCAAACAUGUAUAAUGUAAUUAAAAGUAUUUAUAAAAACAACUUUGCGGUUAUUUGUUGUCAUUUAAUCAUCACAGAGUUAUGUUGGCUCAUACGCCACAGAACCAGACAACCCUUUUUUUUUUUUUUUUUUUUUUUUUUUGGCCUGUCCCGUUUGGCUCUUUUGCCAUCAGAAUUGUUGUCUAAAGGCAAAGAAAGAUGCCCAACGGAUUUACUUUACCAAACUGACCAUCCCAGCCUUGCCGUAAUGGUCCAUUUGAUUCACCUUUUAUUGUUUAUUUUAUUUUCACUUACUGAAUACGGGACAGACUUGACUGGGGGAAAGAAGGGGAGAAAGAAAGAGGGAAAGAGAAACAGCUGAGAAGAGGGACAGGGGAGAAGGGCAAAAGACAAAAACCAACAGAACGGGCAGAGAAAAAAAAAUGCAUAUAUCAAUCACCUGGAUCACCUGCUGAGAAAGAAAAAAGAAAGCAAGCAGAAGAGAACAAGAGUAAUAGAAUAAACAACAUCACAAUGAUAUAUGGGAAUAUGACAGUAAAUACUAAAUGUUAAACAUUAUUGUGCAGCACAUAAGAUCAACAGAACACAGUGUGCUUUGAGGUAGGAGCCAAAAAGGGUGUAGUUUGUGGGUGUGAUCACCCGUGUGUACACCUG